This 253-nucleotide ribosomal RNA is filed under the name uncultured bacterium. RNAcentral describes it as "partial 16S ribosomal RNA". It matches the Rfam family "Bacterial small subunit ribosomal RNA", at positions 524 to 776 of the family's 1533-position model. The record is from RNAcentral.
UACGAAGGGGGCUAGCGUUGCUCGGAAUUACUGGGCGUAAAGCGCACGUAGGCGGCUUUGUAAGUUAGAGGUGAAAGCCCGGAGCUCAACUCCGGAACUGCCUUUAAGACUGCAUCGCUUGAAUCCAGGAGAGGUGAGUGGAAUUCCGAGUGUAGAGGUGAAAUUCGUAGAUAUUCGGAAGAACACCAGUGGCGAAGGCGGCUCACUGGACUGGUAUUGACGCUGAGGUGCGAAAGCGUGGGGAGCAAACAGG